UAGUGUCCAUGUCGGUCAUCUCAAAGGUUC
RNAcentral lists this non-coding RNA (30 nucleotides) under Homo sapiens (human). The record is from RNAcentral. Lineage: Eukaryota; Metazoa; Chordata; Mammalia; Primates; Hominidae.